AGCGCGUGGAGCAUGUGGCUUAAUUUGACUCAACACGGGAAAUCUUACCGGGUCCGGACAUACCGAGGAUUGACAGACUGUUAACUGCAACACAAGCUGCUAAGUUUUAAACUUAAUAGCUCUUUCAUGAUUAUAUGAUAGGUGGUGCAUGGCCGUUCUUAGUUCGUGGAGUGAUCUGUCUGCUUAAUUGCGUUUCAAAAUUUAAACCUGAGCGACAAGGUGCUGCUAUCGAAACUGUCUUUGAGUGUGAACUAUAAGUCUUUUGACUUAUGACCAUCACUCUAGACGUUUAUGUUUUGGUGUUGGCCCUUGAUGCUCAUUUGAACGCAACGGACGUGAUUGCAACCCCUUGUUGAGAUUUAUCCGAUCUCUACGUUCACUGAACCACACUCUUUAGCGAGAGCAGUGGGGAUGUGGAUAAACUCGGGGGACUGCUGACUAUAAACUUUUCUCAAACCAGAGGAAGGUUGCGGCAAUAACA
Molecule: ribosomal RNA, 481 nt
Filed under: Globigerinoides ruber
Lineage: Eukaryota; Foraminifera; Rotaliida; Globigerinidae
Description: SSU rRNA
Rfam family: Eukaryotic small subunit ribosomal RNA
Source: RNAcentral